AAUCUUACAUUAUGGACGUACGUCAGAUGGAGCACCCCCGCGUGAGUGUAUAAUGUUUUCGGAGCGUACGGCUCGGUUGUAAGGGAAGAACAAGUACAGGAGGAACUGUAUUUACCUUGACUGUACCAUUCUCGAAAGCCUCAGCUAACUACGACUCAGCAGCCGCGGUAAUACGUAGGUGGCAGGCGUUGUCCGGAAUUAUUGGGCGUAAAGCGCGCGCAGGCGGUCCUUUAAGUCUGAUGGGAAAGCCCACGGCUCAACCGUGGAGGGUAAUUGGAAAAUGGAGGCAUUGAGUACAGAAGAGGAAAGCGGAAUUCCACGUGUAGCGGUGAAAUGCGUAGAGAUGUGGAGGAACACCAGUGGCGAAGGCGGCUUUCUGGUCUGUAACUGACGCUGAGGCGCGAAAGCGAGGGGGGCAAAC
Molecule: ribosomal RNA, 421 nt
Filed under: uncultured bacterium
Lineage: Bacteria
Description: partial 16S ribosomal RNA
Rfam family: Bacterial small subunit ribosomal RNA
Source: RNAcentral